UGGCCUGUUUUAGGUGCCUCACCCUGUAUAUAAAAUAAAAUUUCUAUCGAAAUAGAAUCCUAAUAAAAGAGCAAUUUGUUUAUAUUCAUUAUUAUCUAUUAUCGAUAUAACCGUAUAUUAUCAUAUCAUCAUAUUAUCUAUAACGAUAAUCUAUGAUAAAUGAACUCUUUAAUUCAUUGUUGCAAUUCAUGAUGCGCGCGUCAUACAUUUAAUAAACGCCUGAUAUGCAUCGAGCAUCACUUAAUCGCUUUGUCUUGCGUCAUCAUCUCUGUCGGUCGAUCUCCUAACAGAUGAUGGAAUUUUCGAAACACGUAUUGAUCCGACCUGAUCGUAAUGCGACGCAGCAGAGGAACGAAAUUUCGGUAGUCGUAUGCCACGCGUGAUUUCACCGAAUUCGACGAGAAUUUCUAGGUGCAAUCGAUAUCGUGUCCACCCUGGAGGAAAAAAUCUCCCCCGCGAAGAUUCUUUCUCGCGGAGAUUCCUUGAAGGGUCUCGUGCCAACAGGAUUAAGCGAAUAUUGUGUGAGUAUAGAUUGCGAGUAUCUUUUCUAGGGGAGAAACAAUCACGGAGAAAUUAUUCUGCCGGCUACUUUUAUAGCCUCGUGAAUAUUUUGCCGCGGGGAACCCGUGGUUAUCAAUGAUAUCGCGAAUGAUCCGACUCAAAGUUCACUGGCCGUUACUUGAUUUCUUUUUUAUAUCGAUUGUAUCUUAAAAUUGUAGCGUAAAAUACUUUAGAAAUGGAGAGAGAAAGGAGAAAUACAAAUUUUUAAUAAUAAAUUUUUAAAUAAAGUUAGAAUUGUUUUUUCCCGUUUUCCGCAAGAAUAUGUUUGUCAAUUACUUGAAAACGAAGUUUUGGUAACUUGUAAAACUAAAUUUCCGAGUUAAUUUUAUUAAAUAUUUAUAACAUAAAAUCAAUUUUACGUUGUAAAUAACAGUUUCGCGUUACAUAUUCGUGUUUUAAAAAUUUCAUUUAGCAGAGCACUUUGGCUUUUAUACCGUUCGCAGCAUAUAAAUUAAUCCAACAUAUUUGUUAAAAGGAAAAUUUCAUACUACAAAUUCACCGAAAAAUCUCUGCGGAUAAAGUAUAUGAAAACUUGAAUAUACACUUUGUGUAUAUCGCUACGCAUGUUUGCUUAUCGGAAGCGCUUCACAGGUGUAAUCUUCCUAAUGGACACUAAAUUGAGAGUGCUCUUCACCGAAUGCUUAUUUGAAUUUCGUUAAUGAAAUUUUUACGUGUUAUACACUUAGGGUUGCCAAGUUUGCUCUGAUCGACAGAGAAAGGCUGUAAAGGCUAUUCUCAAAAUCAUACAUGAAUAUUACGAGAACAUCAAACUAUUUCUGGAACGUUAAAUUUUGCCUUUAAUUUGUUGAAGAAUCUCUUCAUUUUUACGUUUCUUAAUUUCAAUUACAUAAAUAUCUUGGAUUAAUUAAUUUUUUAUCAGAAAAUAUUGAGAUUUUUCACACAAUAUGUUAAAACAGGUUUAACAAUAUUUUUACAUUAUUUCACAAUAUUUUACGGAAUUUUAACACAACUAAUUCUUAUUACACAUGGAAAGCAAAAAGCAUUGUGUUUCAUCGCAGAUGGCAUGCCAGAAACAAUAACGAGAAGAAGAUACUUCUCGAUAUCAUCUCUAUUUUCUAUUUCUAUUAUCUAUCUCUACUGUAUUUUUCGUAAAACCUAACAAAAAGCUAGCACUAGAGAGCUCGGCAAAACGACAAACCAAAAACGAGUCGCUUAGUUUUUUCUGACAUUUUAUACAGCAUCCGCGCUGAAGCUAGAUUUCAGGCUGCUAUAGUAGUUUUAAUAUAACUGGUCGAAUCUCGGGCAGCGUGUGUCGAUGAAAAGAUUGCGAGGAAAAGCGAGGAUGUUGUACUUGUGGUGGUGGUCGACUGAUUGAAGCGUGCAUUGCACCGUAUUGUUCAUCCGUUAUAACCCGCAAGGUCUCUUUUCCCCGUUCCGUCAUUCCAUACCCAGAUCAUUGAUGAAUGGAAACGUGCUUCCGAUUGAAGCUCAACCUGGAACUAGAGCUUGAUCGAAAUAGAAAAAUGCGAAUUAUCUCGCGGCCGGCGAUGAGCACUCGUUCCAUUUGUCGAGCCACUUCCAGCCGAGAAGAUCUCGCGAAAAAAAAAUCGGACCUACUUUCCUCGUCUGGAGGUUAAUGAAAUCGACCCACAGACGAAACGGGCAAUUCCCGUACGUAUCCGCCUCGCGCGUAAUGAAUUGCCGAGCGGCACUCGGUGCGCGGCUACGCGAAAUCUCGGUAAAAGACGCCGCUCAUUGUUUCUCCCGGGCUGCAGCUCGUUCUCUCGGCCGUUCCCUGUCUCUCUAGCACAGUAGAAUCGUCCGGUGCCUCUAAUGGAGUUCCCGGCACAAUAGCGGCAUUGUACAGACUCCCUACAGCCUGUCCGAUCUCUCUUCGUCGCUCUUGGUCGCCCGGCUUACUCGCUCGCUGGCAAACGCUUCGACCGUGUCGUAGGAGAGAAGAGAGCCUACGCUCGUCUCGGGCCUACCGCUCUUCUCUCCUGGUAGCCGUCGUCGGCGUAAAUACAAUAUCGGCCGAUAGCUUCGCUGGGUAUUCAAUCGCGCGACAGAGAGCCACCGCCAUCGGCGUGUAAUAUCGAUCGCCAGCGAGGAAAUUGCGGAUUUUCCGCGGCGACCGCGUCGCGUCGCUCGCCAAUAAUGCGAAAAUUUAGCUGCUUCUAGUCGGAUUAGCUACAUUUCUUUUUUCGUUAAUAAUUAAGUCAAGAGAAAUAUAGUUAUUCGGUCGUUGGACAAAGUGCUCGAUCUGUCGGUUUUUGUUUGUUAACGUGAGAAUGCGUCCUCUUAUAGGACUCUAUAGGAUUGGCAAUAUCUUUUUGCCUACAGUAGUUAACAAAAAUCAGUAGAAACGUAUUAAAUCUGUUACCAAACGGAAUGCCUGAUCUACACUACCGAUUUUGCAUUCGUUAACAACGGGAGAAUGUUGCUAGUCCAACCACACGAGGAAGAAUUUCACAUUACUGCUCGGCAAGAGUAGUAUGGAUCAAUCAUUAAUUCGACAGUCAUGCAAUUGCGUGGUACCAAAACUCGCUUUCUGGCUAGUAUCGUUCUUUUACUAUUAGUAAAUGCGCGUACACUAAACACGUCAUGUGCACGUUGAAUGAAUUAUUUUGUUUAUUGCACGAUGUGGGAUCGUGUUAAGUGACUACACACAUGACUUCUGCUCGAAUACGUAUCGAUAAAUAGCAUACAAUCUAGAUUUGCGGUUUCAGAUGAGUCUCUCUCCUUACGCUCGAUUUAAUUUUUUUUUUUUGCUACGCUGAUGCCGAUGAUAUCGGUUUAUAUAAUUUUUUAUCAUCUUUAUCGUUGCAUAAAGCUGGACCAACGUCAAGCCAAUCGUGCGGCACGUUAAAUGCAUAUCUGCCGAGUGGAAGUGUAACGAUUCAACGAGCGGGUGUGAUCCGGGAUACAUAUGAAUGAUUAAUGACGAUGUUAUCAAAAUAUUGCUGUCACGUUAUACUUAACAUGAAUAUUUGAUGAGAAUAAUACAUGAAUAUUGCAUUGCUGGAUAAUAUGUAUUGAUUCGAAUAAUUCCCUUUUACAAGCAUGCGAUUUAAUAAAAUAUCUUUUUUCAUCUUUAUUUCGGCAAUACAAUUAAAAAUUCAAGUAGAAAUAAAGGACAGCAAUCAAUGUGAAGGUUGAUCAUUUUAUAUCAUUUCAUUGCAUUCGCUCAAAUUCAAAUUUCAAACGAGGCACCGUCGGUGUAGUUUAAACGUCGAAAUCGCAGCAUUCAAUAAUCUCGAUGAGAAAAUGCGCAAUACCGGGAAAUUACGGUAGAGAGGGAGAGAGAGAGAGAGACAGAGAGCCGCAAACAAAUUGAAGGCAAUUUCGAGCGAUUGUAACGUAUUAUCCGCGUUUUGCAACGUAUUGUCCGAAAUUUGCGCGUUAAUACAGAAUUGUUCCGAGCCAUUUGCCGUUGAAGUGCACUUGCCUCUUGCGACCCGCGCGCGUGAUGUUUCAAUAUUGCGGUGAAAUUCGCGAAAACUGGAACACACUCCAGCAAAGUUGGCCGCGGAUUCGCGGGCGUAACGCAACUCUUGCCGCGCGCAAGCAAGCAAGCGGUUGCACCAGGCAACGUCAAUACGCGAGCAAGUAACCGCGUUUCCAGAUGACUCCGAACGUUACGAUUAUUAAGUACCCGCCAACUCCCUUUGAUUCAUGUGUUCGUUUAUUAGGAGGUCCACGAAGUCUAUGAAGUUCCAUGGCACGCGCUGCUCCAAAACUUCGAGCAUUCGCAAACCAACCAAACGCGCGCACGAGCAAGUACAAGUGCGCCAUGAGUUUACUCGGCUAAGAUUUUAUCUUGGUCCGAAUUGGAAAUCCUUAAGAGGAAGUUCGCGAUGUUUUGCGGCGGGAGAAGUUCGUCCUCGCGACGUGGCCUUUGAUAAACUCGCGGUGCAACAUAAUCCUCUCUCUUCCUCUCUUUCACCUUUCCUCUUUCUUUUCUCUCUCUCUCUGUCUUUCUGUUUCUCUUUCUCGCCUUUUUUCUUUCUCUUGAUUUCCGUCUGUUUUCCUCCGACGACGACGUUAGCGCGCAGUUUUCUGUUGCGAGAACGGAUAUUUGAACGCAGCGCGACGCGAAGCAUGCAACGCGAGCGAAUAAUGCAAAAUUGCGCGGAGGAGCUCAUGUGUGCUUUAUUGCAGCCCGCUGUGCGAUCACGCGUUAUCUCGCGAUGCGUGCACUCAUGACACGCACCGGCGACUUAUGAGCGCGUACGCAUUCGGCAAACCGAGAUACACGAGUGUAACGCGCGUACGGACGGCCGGGCGCGAUCCGCUUUACAAACGUGCCUGAUAUUUAAAUUCAUCGAAUCCUCCUCUCUUUGUAGCGAGAUCCCUGCAUAUGUACGGGUGGUAACUGAUUCUGGUGACUUGCACGCGGAAUGCGAUCAAGUGGAUGCAAAGGUGUUCAUGUCCACAACAAGAUCCAUCAUCUUGCGAACAACCACGUGUAAAUACAUCAAAGUAGAUACAGGGCCGAUUUAAUCAAUCUUCCAUACAAAAAGGUUCAGGCAGAAUUGAAGCAUUGCACGUGGAAACUCUGUCGGACCGAGAACUAUUUGAACCGCUGCGAAAAUUUAUUAACAUAUAACGGAAAGAGCGCGCAGUCGAUAUCGGAUAUUGGGAUAUCCCUAACCCUCUACAUGCUCCCUGUAAUUGAAAUAUUUGAGUAAGCGGCGGGCAUAUAUCGCGGCGAGUUUAGAAGUUCUGUGGGAGUCGGUCAGCCAUUAUUUCUCAGUUAUUAUUUUCCCAUUCCACUACUGUGGUUUAGUCGUUGUCGCUACACUCAUCCCUUCGACGUACGUGACUCGGUAUAUGUACAUCUCAAAUUAGAGAAACGAACCGGUUUGUAACACGUUAUUGUUUCCUUAAUCGUAAAUUAGAAACGAAUUUUUUCCCUUCAAAGUGAUAUUUUUAAUUAAGCGGAUAUCAAAUUAAUAAUAUAUCAAAUAGAUUUAAUUUAAUUAAUUGCGGUAGCUCUCGAUGUAAAAUAGCAUAGUUUUUAAUGACCAGAAUAUGAAGUUGGUUAUUAAAAACUAUGCUAUUCAAAAUAUCGCAUUUUGAAUAAUUAUUUAAAUAACCAACGUAUGAUUAUUAUUACAUUUGCUGAUAGUGACCGAAUGGAGAUAUUGCGCCACUUCGCGUAAUUUCCUUCGAAUAUAGUAACAAGAUCUUGUUAGCAAGAACCCAUAUCCUCCAUUGUUCUCUCGAGUAAUAUCUAGAGUGUGGCUUAGAUAAUUAAAUGGAUAACAGUUAGCAUAAUUAAUAUUAUAUUAAUACGAUUAGACGCGAGUUAUCUCGGUACUUCAACAUUCAAUUUUAAACAUCUUUGUUUCUGACUCGAAAUUGGAAGUUUGUUACAAUCUACGUGGGCUAAAAUAAAAAACAAGACCAUUGUCUUGUUUUUAGUUUUCUUUUCUUCCUGAAGUUUAAUUCAAUUUAAAGCACGGAGACUAUUGCUUUGACGUUCUUUUCUAUUUUUCUUAAGAAAGAUCAACUUCAUCUUGUGUGGAUCAAAGCGCGUGUACACAGAACAAACAGUAGAAAACUUGGAAUAGCCUGGUGUUCGUCUUGCAUGUGACAUCGACGUUCUGCUGAUCAUUUACAAAGAAUCGAACCUUGGAUUUGUCUUACUCUUAUGUCAGUUCUUAGAGAGAAAGAAAAAGAGGAACGGAGGGAUAAAUACAAUAGAGUCUCUCAACCACACAAGAUCCUCUCCAGCUGAAGAACAGAGUUUCUCGAGGUUUGCGACGGCCAGUGAAACAGUUCUCGCAUCGACAGAGCCGUCAAACUCUACGAGGCCAAACGAUGGGGGAUUUACCGACUUUCCCUCCUCCUUCAUUUCCUCCUUCUACCCUCUAAUGUCACCUGGGUAUCGACUAUUACACCGGCCGAGACCAAAUCACCUUCGCACGCAUCCAUCAGUGUUUCUCUCGCGAAAAGCUGACGAUGUCACGGAUAAAUGGAGUUUUCGCAUAGCUCAUUAGGUCAUUUUGCGCGGAAGGGCAAUCCUUCGUUGCAAAUGCCAUAGUAAUCCCGUUGAAAUUUCCCGCGAAAUUGAGGAACGAAGUCUCGCUUCCCUUCAUUUCGAUCUCGUUUCCGAUAUUAUUCACGACGAACAUGAUAAUCGCAAAAAUGUUAGUUGUUGCAUCUUAUAUGCAUCUUCUUUUCUCCGUGAGAUACAUUUAUUCGCAUUUUGUUGCGCGAUAUUGGGACAAACGACGUCAUAAUGGUAUUCUAUGAAAUUGUCGAGGUCAUUUUCAUCUCGAAAACGAAGCUCCGCAAUUUUGCACCGCAAUUUCGACCUACUUCUUGUGCGGAAAUUACUGCCUUCUCAGAUGCACUUAACAAGAACUUCGUAAGACUACGCAUAUUGUUACAACAAUAGCGUUUGUCGGCUUAAGUCAAUAUUUGAAGGACCAAAUUGAUCAAAUAGUCGUGCUGAAGAGAUCUUAAUGCCAUUAUACGUUCUCGAUGUAAGAGAGAGCGUAGCUCAAACGUAAUGAAAUCUCUAUAUGGUAACGAAUUAAUUGCAUGGCAGGCCAUUACGGAAAAUUAUUAUCGCGACGAGGGAAACGAUGGACGGGCGCAAAUGCAUCGAUGGCCACGAGGCUCCCGGGAGAUCGCGUCGUUGAUUUGUGUCUGAUUCGCUCGCAGUUGAAUAGCAUUACGAUUCAGGAGAUCGAUAUUCAAGGCGUAUGUUCCGAGAUGUCUGACAUGAUGUCUGUCAAGACGCUUCCUGAUCGAACGUCAAGAGUGACACAGAAAGGUAGAUGUUCAGAGAUGGGAUGUGUCGUUUUAUUGUAUUCCUAGAACGACGGAGAAUUGCGCGAGCAGCAGCUCAUUAAAGCAAAAAUUCAUUAGUUCAUUGACGUGCACGAUCCAUACGUAUUCAUUGAUUCUAACACGGAAAAAAAUGGUUUAGUUGAUUCAGCUAAUCUAUAGCUUGCUGAAAAAAAUUAGGCAUUUUAAAUAAGCAAAUUUGCUAAUGCAGCAAAAAAGUGGUGUGUGAAAGCAUUUAUCACUUGUUCAUAGAGCAAAUCCAUUUAUGUUGCAAUUAUCUUAGUUACUGCAACAAAUCAUUUUCGCUAGAUGAUGUACGUAGGUAACGCCAGUUGUUAUCAUACCUCACUUCCGCACUAACAAUCAAAUAAUUGAUAUAUUCAUGGAAAAGAAUAGUUGAGUGAGUAUAAUCCAGUGUAAUAUUCUAUCUGAACAUAGAUCAUACAACGUAAGAUUUUACAGCAGUACAUAUUGUUUCACGUAUGUAUUCACUGUGUUUGCAGCUACGAUCUUGUUAUAUAGAUCAAUCAGCGCUA
Molecule: long non-coding RNA, 7859 nt
Filed under: Ooceraea biroi (clonal raider ant)
Lineage: Eukaryota; Metazoa; Arthropoda; Insecta; Hymenoptera; Formicidae
Description: uncharacterized LOC113561980
Source: RNAcentral